UUGACCUCGGAUCAGGUAGGGAUACCCGCUGAACUUAAGCAUAUCAAUAAGCGGAGGAAUA
RNAcentral lists this ribosomal RNA (61 nucleotides) under Aspergillus fumigatus. RNAcentral describes it as "partial 28S ribosomal RNA". It matches the Rfam family "Eukaryotic large subunit ribosomal RNA", at positions 1 to 60 of the family's 3401-position model. Lineage: Eukaryota; Fungi; Ascomycota; Eurotiomycetes; Eurotiales; Aspergillaceae. The record is from RNAcentral.